Molecule: long non-coding RNA, 120 nt
Organism: Octopus sinensis (East Asian common octopus)
Lineage: Eukaryota; Metazoa; Mollusca; Cephalopoda; Octopoda; Octopodidae
Exons: 3
Source: RefSeq, a predicted model, not a curated record
UAUGCUCCACCAUCAUCACUACAAGAACUGGAAUCUGUUUUAGCUGAGGAAUGGACAAACAUUCCUUUGGAAACAAUUCAAACUUUGUACGAUUCCAUACCUCGUAGAAUUCAAGCUGUA